RNAcentral lists this ribosomal RNA (903 nucleotides) under uncultured Bacillota bacterium. Its description in RNAcentral is "bacterial SSU rRNA". It matches the Rfam family "Bacterial small subunit ribosomal RNA", at positions 1 to 917 of the family's 1533-position model. The record is from RNAcentral. Lineage: Bacteria; Bacillati; Bacillota.
UGGAUCCAGACUUUGAUUAUGGCUCAGGACGAACGCUGGCGGCGUGCCUAACACAUGCAAGUCGAACGGAGCUCCGCCCUUCGGGACGGAACUUAGUGGCGAACGGGUGAGUAACGCGUGAAGAACCUGCCUUCCAGUGGGGGACAACAGUUGGAAACGACUGCUAAUACCGCAUGAUACUUUUGAGGGGCAUCCCUUGAAAGUCAAAGCUUUAAGUGCUGGAAGAUGGCUUCGCGUCUGAUUAGCUAGUUGGUGGGGUAACGGCCCACCAAGGCGACGAUCAGUAGCCGGUCUGAGGGGAUGAACGGCCACAUUGGGACUGAGAUACGGCCCAGACUCCUACGGGAGGCAGCAGUGGGGAAUAUUGGGCAAUGGGCGAAAGCCUGACCCAGCAACGCCGCGUGAAGGAAGAAGGCCUUCGGGUUGUAAACUUCUUUUACCAGGGACGAAGGACGUGACGGUACCUGGAGAAAAAGCAACGGCUAACUACGUGCCAGCAGCCGCGGUAAUACGUAGGUUGCAAGCGUUGUCCGGAUUUACUGGGUGUAAAGGGCGUGUAGGCGGAGGCGCAAGUUGGGAGUGAAAUCUAUGGGCUCAACCCAUAAACUGCUCUCAAAACUGUGUCCCUUGAGUAUCGGAGAGGCAAGCGGAAUUCCUAGUGUAGCGGUGAAAUGCGUAGAUAUUAGGAGGAACACCAGUGGCGAAGGCGGCUUGCUGGACGACAACUGACGCUGAGGCGCGAAAGCGUGGGGAGCAAACAGGAUUAGAUACCCUGGUAGUCCACGCUGUAAACGAUGAAUACUAGGUGUGGGAGGACUGACCCCUUCCGUGCCGCAGUUAACACAAUAAGUAUUCCACCUGGGGAGUACGACCGCAAGGUUGCAACUCAAAUGAAUUGACGGA